RNAcentral lists this ribosomal RNA (445 nucleotides) under uncultured bacterium. RNAcentral's name for it is "partial 16S ribosomal RNA". It matches the Rfam family "Bacterial small subunit ribosomal RNA", at positions 355 to 814 of the family's 1533-position model. The record is from RNAcentral.
UGGGGAAUAUUGCACAAUGGGCGAAAGCCUGAUGCAGCAACGCCGCGUGAGUGAUGAAGGCCUUCGGGUUGUAAAGCUCUGUCUUUUGGGACGAUAAUGACGGUACCAAAGGAGGAAGCCACGGCUAACUACGUGCCAGCAGCCGCGGUAAUACGUAGGUGGCAAGCGUUGUCCGGAUUUACUGGGCGUAAAGGAUGCGUAGGCGGAUUUUUAAGUGAGAUGUGAAAUACCCGGGCUUAACUUGGGUGCUGCAUUUCAAACUGGGAAUCUAGAGUGCGGGAGAGGAGAAUGGAAUUCCUAGUGUAGCGGUGAAAUGCGUAGAAGAUUAGGAAGAACACCAGUGGCGAAGGCGAUUCUCUGGACCGUAACUGACGCUGAGGCAUGAAAGCGUGGGUAGCAAAACAGGAUUAGAUACCCUGGUAGUCCACGCCGUAAAACGAUGAGU